Molecule: ribosomal RNA, 451 nt
Filed under: uncultured bacterium
Lineage: Bacteria
Description: partial 16S ribosomal RNA
Rfam family: Bacterial small subunit ribosomal RNA
Source: RNAcentral
UGGGGAAUUUUGGACAAUGGGGGCAACCCCUGAUCCAGCCAUCCCGCGUGUGCGAUGAAGGCCUUCGGGUUGUAAGCACUUUUGGCAGGGAAGAAACAGCCUGGGAUAAUACCCCCGGGCGACUGACGGUACCUGCAGAAUAAGCACCGGCUAACUACGUGCCAGCAGCCGCGGUAAUACGUAGGGUGCAAGCGUUAAUCGGAAUACUGGGCGUAAAGCGUGCGCAGGCGGUUCGGAAAGAAAGGUGUGAAAUCCCAGGGCUUAACCUUGGAACUGCACUUUUAACUACCGACUAGAGUACGUCAGAGGGGGGUAGAAUUCCACGUGUAGCAGUGAAAUGCGUAGAGAUGUGGAGGAAUACCGAUGGCGAAGGCAGCCCCCUGGGAUGAUACUGACGCUCAUGCACGAAAGCGUGGGGAGCAAACAGGAUUAGAUACCCUGGUAGUCCACG